This 260-nucleotide ribosomal RNA is filed under the name uncultured archaeon. Its description in RNAcentral is "partial 16S ribosomal RNA". It matches the Rfam family "Archaeal small subunit ribosomal RNA", at positions 748 to 1008 of the family's 1478-position model. The record is from RNAcentral.
CAGCCCUAAACGAUGCGCGUUAGGUGUAUCGGUGACCACGAGUCACCGAGGUGCCGAAGGGAAACCGUGAAACGUGCCGCCUGGGAAGUACGGUCGCAAGGCUGAAACUUAAAGGAAUUGGCGGGGGAGCACCACAACGGGUGGAGCUUGCGGUUUAAUUGGAUUCAACGCCGGAAAUCUUACCGGGACCGACAGCAACAUGAAGGCCAGGCUGAAGACUUUGCCGGAUUAGCUGAGAGGAGGUGCAUGGCGGUGACUGU